RNAcentral lists this ribosomal RNA (459 nucleotides) under uncultured bacterium. Its description in RNAcentral is "bacterial SSU rRNA". It matches the Rfam family "Bacterial small subunit ribosomal RNA", at positions 340 to 789 of the family's 1533-position model. The record is from RNAcentral.
UACGGGAGGCAGCAGUGGGGAAUAUUGCACAAUGGGCGAAAGCCUGAUGCAGCUAUGCCGCGUGUAUGAAGAAGGCCUUAGGGUUGUAAAGUACUUUCAUCGGGGAGGAAAAACAAAACUAAUAAUUUUAUUUCUUGACGUUACCCGAAAAAGAAGCACCGGCUAACUCCGUGCCAGCAGCCGCGGUAAUACGGAGGGUGCUAGCGUUAAUCAGAAUUACUGGGCGUAAAGAGCACGUAGGUGGUUUUUUUAAGUCAGAUGUGAAAUCCCCGGGCUUAACCUAGGAACUGCAUUUUGAAACUGAAAUACUAGAGUAUCGUAGAGGGAGGUAGAAUUCUAGGUGUAGCGGUGAAAUGCGUAGAUAUCUGGAGGAAUACCUGUGGCGAAAGCGGCCUCCUAAACGAAUACUGACACUGAGGGUGCGAAAGCGUGGGGAGCAAACAGGGAUUAGAUACCCGU